Molecule: long non-coding RNA, 311 nt
Filed under: Rattus norvegicus (Norway rat)
Lineage: Eukaryota; Metazoa; Chordata; Mammalia; Rodentia; Muridae
Description: long non-coding RNA NONRATT016442
Source: RNAcentral
GAAAAGCACACAAACAUAACCUCACAUCCAAAUAUGAAUAUAACAGGAAGCAAUAAUCACUAUUCCUUAAUAUCUCUCAACAUCAAUGGCCUCAACUCCCCAAUAAAAAGACAUAGAUUAACAAACUGGAUACGCAACGAGGACCCUGCAUUCUGCUGCCUACAGGAAACACACCUCAGAGACAAAGACAGACACUACCUCAGAGUGAAAGGCUGGAAAACAACUUUCCAAGCAAAUGGUCAGAAGAAGCAAGCUGGAGUAGCCAUUCUAAUAUCAAAUAAAAUCAAUUUUCAACUAAAAGUCAUCAAAAA